Molecule: ribosomal RNA, 479 nt
Filed under: Lumbricillus cf. macquariensis CE12483
Lineage: Eukaryota; Metazoa; Annelida; Clitellata; Enchytraeida; Enchytraeidae
Description: partial large subunit ribosomal RNA
Rfam family: Bacterial large subunit ribosomal RNA
Source: RNAcentral
UGCUUUAUGAAUAUUAAUAUAAAGUAAUCUCCUGCCCAGUGAUUUAUAUUCAACGGCCGCGGUAUCCUAACCGUGCAAAGGUAGCAUAAUAAUUUGCCCAUUAAUUGUGGGCUAGAAUGAACGGGGUAACGAAAUAAGAACUGUCUCAGUAAUAAUCAUAAAAACUAUUCUAAAAGUGAAGAAACUUUUAUAAAAUUAAAGGACAAGAAGACCCUAUAGAGCUUUAUUAUAAAAUAUAUAAACAUAUAUUAUUAAUUCGGUUGGGGCGACCUAGGAAAAAUCAUCCUAAAAUAUAUAGACUAAUUAGUCAAUUCAUAGAUCCUAUAAUAGAUCAAAAGAACAAGCUACCUUAGGGAUAACAGGCUAAUCCUAUUAGAGAGCUCAUAUCGACAAUAGGGAUUGGCACCUCGAUGUUGGCUUAGAAUAUCUUUAAGGCGCAGAUGUCAUAAAAAGAAGGUUUGUUCAACCUAUAAUUUUCU